This is a long non-coding RNA of Pezoporus occidentalis (night parrot), 2569 nucleotides long. RefSeq lists it as uncharacterized. NCBI's taxonomy places the organism in Eukaryota, Metazoa, Chordata, Aves, Psittaciformes, Psittacidae. The transcript has 2 exons. The record is from RefSeq and is a predicted model, not a curated record.
AGCUAACAGCCACGCUGCUUUAACUUAUCAAUAAUGAAAAGUGAGCUGGAGCUGUCAGGAAAUACAUUUGACAUCUCAGCUUUGAAGAACAGGAACUCUGUUCUCCCUCUGUAGAUAUGAAAGGAAAUAUAAUCAUUAGUAAACCUAAUUUAUUUCAUAAGCAGAGUUGGCAGUGUGAUUCCUUUUCAAGACUUCCUGGCACUUUCCUAUUAUGAGAGUCUGCUUUUAGUUGUCUACAUCAGACAAACAUGAUUUGUUCAGGCUGAAAUAACCCUAGCUGAGCAUUUGCUUCUACUAAGAUUAUUUUUUAUCUUUCAAGUUGUAUCCAUAUUUUUUAUGCUACUUUAACUUUAAAACCAUUAUAAAUAAACACAUAUUCACAUUAGGAAGGCAUCAACUCAGAUGGCAAAGACAGUAUAUGGUAAAUGAGGAAUUCUAGCAUGGAGCCACAGCAGCUUAAUGCUUUAAGAAAAUAGAUGAUUAGGUAAAGAAGACAAAGAGCGGGAUGUGAUCUUUGAAGCAAGAAUCAUUAAGGAAUUCAAAGGUGGAUGGGCUAUAGAUUGUGGAAAGUGAAGACAGACAUUAGAUAUUCAGCAUUCUUAUUUCUCAGAAUACAACAGAAUAUUAUUAGGGUACAAAGUAAUGGAGAAAAAUUAUCUUUUGAGGCCAGCCUUCACAGGAACCUAAGGAGAUAAAGAAAUCAAAUAGCAGAUAUACUUCAUACUUUUCAAAACUGAGAAAGCAAAAGGGAACUGAAAUGUGGUUUUCUUAAUUUCCAGGAAAGUAAAUAAACCCCCCUCCCUAUUACUUCUACAGAAAUUCAGUGGGUUCUGUAAGGACAGUAACAAUGAGAACUUUGAUUCUCUCCACUGGGCUUCAGCUGAUCUGCAGCACAAGAACCUGAAAUUAGCUAGCACAAUGCAAUCAAUAUUGAGCAAUAUUUUGUCUCUGAAAGAAAUUCAGUCUGACAGAGAAAAGACCAGUGCAGGAAAAGUGAGAUUCUGGCUGAAAAGCUGAAUACAGAAAUUCCCUGCAAAGUGGUACAAAUUAGUUGAUGUCACCAGAGCAAGAAAACCGUAGUGACAGAAUAAAAUGUUAUCCAGGUUCCAGAAUACUUUAUUAUCACCACCUUAGGUCACUAAGCUUCACAAGCUAUAUCCAUCAAGUUUGAUAGCAGUAUAUAUACUCACAGCUGAAGCUAGAAGGUGCAGUGCUUUAAUGUACUAACGAUUUACAUUAAGACACCUGGGUUCAAAGUCAGUUUAUGACAUGAACAGAAUGGGUUUGUUGGUCUCAGCCUGCUCUCUAGUGGACAACUGCACAUAAACCCAGUCCUGAGAAGAAUCCCAAGAAUUAGAUUUGGUGGCCAAGACAUAUGAUGAAAUUCAUAUUCUCUGAACAACAUUAUUCAAAAUGAAAUUAAAUUGGAUAUCUGUGCUAAUUCUGAAACACUGUAAGAUGAGACACGUCCAUUGGCGUCUCUUAAAUACUAUAUUCAGUAUUGUAACCAGUAUUUGGAAGUAAAGAACAGAAGGGGAACCAGUACAAUGAAAGGCAGAAAAGGAAAUUAAAUGUUUUCAUGUUAGGUUAAAAUGAAGAUAAGAUGACAUACUGCUAUAACAGACAUUUAAUGUUUAUGACUAGGUACAAUAUUUGUCUUUAUUUACUCUUUUUCAUAAUGCAAGACAACAAGAAAUGAAAAAAAUGGCACACACAAUAACGAUAAAAGGAAGUAUUUUCUUGGUACAUAAUUAACCUGUAAACUCAUGUCUGAAAGACAUUUCAGAGACAAGAGCUAAACAGGACUUAAGAAAGAUUAUGCUUUUAUAUAAAUAAUGAGAAUAGGAAGAGGUAUGUUAGAUAGUAUUAAAAUGAAUGAGGGAUAUAAAGUCUCAUGAUUCAAGAUAUAAAACAAACUUAAAUUGCCUAGAGCAUGAGAAGAAACUACACCCACAGAUGUUUUAUUUCAUUAGUGUAUCCCAUACAAUGUUUACAUUCACUUCAGCAGGCAGGCAGCAGAAUACUGGAGUCUCAGAUUUGUGUAGUUGGUGGUAUUUCCUACGCUUCCAAGACAAAUUCCUUAGUGACUCAUUUGCAAAAAUCAGCUGCAAAAAAUUGUCUGGAACUCUGACCCCAUUUCAGGUUAUUCCCCUUUACAUUGCUUAACCUUUUAUUAGUCAGGAGAACAACACUCAUUGAUAACUAAGCAUUUACAAUUACAAUCAUAUGUCAAUGACAGAGGCAAAGUAAAAAUUUUAUUAAGUUGAAAUAUCUUUUCAAAACUUUUUUUUAAUAUAAAAAAGUUGUUAUUGCUAGCUUAUAACUGACCAUUACAUAUUACACAUAUAUUUGUAUGAUAUAUUAACAUAUAUAUACACUGUAUUUACAGAGUCUUUUACAGUCUUGUGCUUUUUCCUAGUCUAAGCUGACUAUUCCAUUAUUUUUCAUCAUGUCAUCUACCUCCCUGAUUUGCAGGAAUGUUUGAACACUUACGUUUUACAAGCCUACGUUUCAAGUUUAAGAUAAAUUUAAAACUAAAUUCUUAUCCAAAUAAAGUUCACUUUAUGGA